RNAcentral lists this long non-coding RNA (1148 nucleotides) under Homo sapiens (human). RNAcentral's name for it is "HSALNT0377205". The record is from RNAcentral. Lineage: Eukaryota; Metazoa; Chordata; Mammalia; Primates; Hominidae.
CGCGGGUUGGACCGCACCUUUCUCCGCCUGAGCGCGGGGAGGAGAAAAUGCCAGGCCUCCCUUGAGCCAGGCCCUGCGAGUUUUCCCGCAGUGCACCACGCAUUGGCGUUCACCUACUUAUAAUGUGAUUUAAGGUUCCUAAUCACCAGGAGAGCAUUCCCUUUAAAAAGCAAGCCCGGCCACAGGCCUACCUUCUCCAUGGCUAUUCCCCCCUUUUAUACUGACUUGGUUGGGUCUGACAGAGACCAAAGCAGCGUCGAAAACCGCGAGCGAGGAAGGGCUGCUCCUGCCCCCUACGGUGCGGGGUGGAACUGCACAAAAGGGCCACGAUCAGCCAGGAGCCCCUACCUGUGCUAAAAAAAAAAAAAGGGUGGUGUAUUUACCGUAUGUGCAAAGGAAUGGCUGGAGAAGGGGAGAGAACAGUGUAAGAGAAUGAGGCAUCACCAGAAGCUAAAGAAGAAAAGUCGAUGAAGUACAUGUGGUCAGGAUGUUACAGAGAGGUAAAGGACAAUGAAGAGAGGCACGUCUAGAUUUUGUGAAGCUCAAGUGUAUAAAACUUGGAGAAUUAUAUUUUCCAGAGAAACCCACUGGUUCCAAACAAGCUGAUUUCUGAGAGAAUGGAAAGAAGAGUGUUCAACCAACAACCAUCUCCCCAGGUUCCUGCUCACUCUCCCCUGAUUUCUCCUUUUCCCAAAUUUGCCCUUGCAAACUCUUUCUUCUCCUCUCUUCUGCCCAGCAUGUUAGUUUACCUUAGGGUAAGCUAUCUCUAAACUACCUUUGAUGACCCAACAUCAUCAAGGUAUUUAGUUAGUAGAAUAAAGGAUCUUCCAUGUGACAGGAUUUACAUGCUCUGGAUCACAGACGUAGUUAAUGAUCCAGUACUUGGCUCCUGCUCUAGUACAUGUUCUUCUAUCUCAUGUUUCCUGCAUUGAUGUCAUCAAGAUUUGAAGAAAAAUAACCAAGGGAUAGGUGUAUAACAUCUUGAUGAGUUUAAAGUAGUUGAUAAAAUGAAUAGUUUCAUGCAUAUGCAUACAAAUGGCAAUUCCAAAUAAAAUUUAAGUUUGCCUGCUAUGGGCUAUGCAGUGAGUGGUCUCUGUGCUUAUAGCAAUGGAGUUCCUGGAUGGUGCUAUUUGAGCAUCAAUAAUCCA